RNAcentral lists this unclassified non-coding RNA (336 nucleotides) under soil metagenome. RNAcentral's name for it is "partial contains 5.8S ribosomal RNA, internal transcribed spacer 2, and large subunit ribosomal RNA". The stretch from base 1 to 120 matches the Rfam family "5.8S ribosomal RNA", at positions 35 to 154 of the family's 154-position model. The record is from RNAcentral.
GAUGAAGAACGUAGCGAAAUGCGAAAAGUAAUGUGAAUUGCAGAAUUCAGUGAAUCAUCGAAUCUUUGAACGCACAUUGCGCCCGCUAGUAUUCUGGCGGGCAUGCCUGUCCGAGCGUCAUUUCAACCCAUCAAGCUUAGCGCUUGUGUUGGAGCCCUGCGGCCGCCGCAGCCUCCUAAAAUCAGUGGCGGGCUCGCUAUCACGCUGAGUGCAGUAGUAUUCUUCUCACUCCUGUGGUGUAGCGGGUAACCAGCCGUAAACCCCCCCAUCUAUAAAGGUUGACCUCGGAUCAGGUAGGAAUACCCGCUGAACUUAAGCAUAUCAAUAAGCGGAGGA